GAUGAACGCUGGCGGCGUGCCUAGUACAUGCAAGUCGAGCGAACAGACGAGGAGCUUGCUCCUCUGACGUUAGCGGCGGACGGGUGAGUAACACGUGGAUAACCUACCUAUAAGACUGGGAUAACUUCGGGAAACCGGAGCUAAUACCGGAUAAUAUAUUGAACCGCAUGGUUCAAUAGUGAAAGACGGUUUUGCUGUCACUUAUAGAUGGAUCCGCGCCGCAUUAGCUAGUUGGUAAGGUAACGGCUUACCAAGGCAACGAUGCGUAGCCGACCUGAGAGGGUGAUCGGCCACACUGGAACUGAGACACGGUCCAGACUCCUACGGGAGGCAGCAGUAGGGAAUCUUCCGCAAUGGGCGAAAGCCUGACGGAGCAACGCCGCGUGAGUGAUGAAGGUCUUCGGAUCGUAAAACUCUGUUAUUAGGGAAGAACAAAUGUGUAAGUAACUAUGCACGUCUUGACGGUACCUAAUCAGAAAGCCACGGCUAACUACGCG
RNAcentral lists this ribosomal RNA (497 nucleotides) under uncultured bacterium. RNAcentral's name for it is "partial 16S ribosomal RNA". It matches the Rfam family "Bacterial small subunit ribosomal RNA", at positions 28 to 507 of the family's 1533-position model. The record is from RNAcentral.